Molecule: ribosomal RNA, 395 nt
Filed under: uncultured bacterium
Lineage: Bacteria
Description: bacterial SSU rRNA
Rfam family: Bacterial small subunit ribosomal RNA
Source: RNAcentral
GACGAACGCUGGCGGCGUGCCUAACACAUGCAAGUGGAGCGACGAACCGGGCUUCGGCCCGGGGCCAAGCCGCGAACGGGUGAGUAACACGUGGGUAACCUGCCCUGAUGAUUGGGACAACCCGAGGAAACUCGGGCUAAUACCGAAUGUGCCCUCCGACCAUAAGGUCUGCGGGGAAAGGAAGCUUCGGCCUCCGCAUCGGGAUGGGCCCGCGGCGCAUUAGCUUGUUGGUGGGGUAACGCUCACCAAGGCGACGAUGCGUAGCUGGUCUGAGAGGACGAUCAGCCACACUGGGACUGAGACACGGCCCAGACUCCUACGGGAGGCAGCAGUGGGGAAUCUUGCGCAAUGCGCGAAAGCGUGACGCAGCAACGCCGCGUGGGGGAAGACGGCCU